Molecule: non-coding RNA, 69 nt
Organism: Caenorhabditis brenneri
Lineage: Eukaryota; Metazoa; Nematoda; Chromadorea; Rhabditida; Rhabditidae
Source: the annotation of a GenBank genome assembly
GCCUGUGUGGUGUAGUGGUUAACGCUGCUCUUUUAGAAAUUUUCGACGCGGGUUCGAAUCCCAAAGGCC